Non-coding RNA from Acanthosepion pharaonis, 112 nucleotides. Lineage: Eukaryota; Metazoa; Mollusca; Cephalopoda; Sepiida; Sepiidae. The record is from the annotation of a GenBank genome assembly.
ACGGACACAUCACGUUGAAACACCAGCUCUCGUACGACCAUCGAAGUUAAGCAGCGUCGAGCCGUGUUAGUACUUAAAUGGGUGACCGCUUGGGAAUACCAGGUGCUGUAAG